RNAcentral lists this transfer RNA (69 nucleotides) under Myotis davidii. It matches the Rfam family "tRNA". From Rfam's summary of the family: Transfer RNA (tRNA) molecules are approximately 80 nucleotides in length. Their secondary structure includes four short double-helical elements and three loops (D, anti-codon, and T loops). The record is from Rfam by way of RNAcentral. Lineage: Eukaryota; Metazoa; Chordata; Mammalia; Chiroptera; Vespertilionidae.
UGGCCAAUUGCUCAAUGGUUAGAGCGUUGGCCUGCCGAUCCAAGGGUCUGUGGUUCGAUUCCUGGUCAA